RNAcentral lists this ribosomal RNA (397 nucleotides) under uncultured bacterium. Its description in RNAcentral is "bacterial SSU rRNA". It matches the Rfam family "Bacterial small subunit ribosomal RNA", at positions 114 to 507 of the family's 1533-position model. The record is from RNAcentral.
CGCGUACUCCAACCUUCCGUACACUCAGGGAUAGUCCUUUCGAAAGAAAGAUUAAUACCUGAUGGUAUCUUAAGCACACAUGUAAUUAAGAUUAAAGAUUUAUCGGUGUACGAUGGGGAUGCGUUCCAUUAGAUAGUAGGCGGGGUAACGGCCCACCUAGUCUUCGAUGGAUAGGGGUUCUGAGAGGAAGGUCCCCCACAUUGGAACUGAGACACGGUCCAAACUCCUACGGGAGGCAGCAGUGAGGAAUAUUGGUCAAUGGGCGAGAGCCUGAACCAGCCAAGUAGCGUGAAGGAUGACUGCCCUAUGGGUUGUAAACUUCUUUUAUAAAGGAAUAAAGUCGGGUAUGGAUACCUGUUUGCAUGUACUUUAUGAAUAAGGAUCGGCUAACUCCGUG